Molecule: long non-coding RNA, 2441 nt
Organism: Cyprinus carpio carpio
Lineage: Eukaryota; Metazoa; Chordata; Actinopteri; Cypriniformes; Cyprinidae
Source: Ensembl
GUAUAAUCAAGUCAAAUAUUAUGAAGUUUCAAUAACAAUAUACACUACUAUACCAUUCAAAAGCUUGAUGUAAAUAAUAUAAAUGUACCAAUAAAUGUAACUGUAACAAAUGUAAUAAACAAUGCUGUUCUUUCAAUUUAUCCCCCCUAAAAAACCUGAAAAAAAUAUUCUCAGCUCUUUUCAACAUUAAUAAUAAUAAUAAUGAUAAUAAUAACACUAAAUGUUUUUUGUAGAAAAUAAGAUUGUUAAAAGGAUUUCUGAAGGAUUGUGUGACUGGAGUAAUGAUGCAAAAAAUUCAGUUUGAAAGUCAGCUUUGAUUGUUCCUAAUAAACUGUUUAACUGCACUCACAAGUGAAUAUUAAAUUAUGUUAUGGGAUAAUUAAAUAUAUUCUAAAUAAACUACAAACAUAAAAUUAUAUACAUUUAUUUUGUCCUCACAUUCUUUCUUGUAACUCACCCCUCUCAGUGACACAGCUGACUGAAUGGCUCAUUAUGCAGCUCAUUAUGCAGCGAGUAGGCGUCAACUAUCAUGAAUUCACACCUGAGAAGACAAAGACCUGCAUAAUGAGCUGCAUAAUGAGCCAUUCAGUCAGCUGUGCCACUGAGAGGGAUGAGUUACAAGAAAGAAUGUGAGGACAAAAUAAAUCUAUAUAAUUUUAUGUUUGUAGUUUAUUUAGAAUAUAUUUAAUUAUCCCACAACAUAAUUUAAUAUUCACUUGUGAGUGCAGUUAAACAGUUUAUUAGGAAAAAUCAAAGCUGACUUUCAAACUGAAUUUUUUGCAUCAUUACUCCAGUCACACAAUCCUUCAGAAAUCCUUUUAACAAUCUUAUUUUCUACAAAAAAACAUUUAUUGUUAUUAUUAUCAUCAUCAUUAUUAUUAUUAUUAUUAUUAUUAUUGUUAUUAUUAUUAUUAUUAUUAUUAUUAAUGUUGAAAAGAGCUGAGAAUUUUUUUUUUAGGUUUUUUUAGGGGGGAUAAAUUGAAAGAACAGCAAUGAUUGUUACAUUUGUUACAGUUACAUUUAUUGUUACAUUUAUAUUAUUUACAUCAAGCUUUUGAAUGGUAUAGUAGUGUAUACUGUUAUUGAAACUUCAUAAUAUUUCACUUGAUUAUACAUUUAGUCAGGAAUUAUAGUUUGGAAAAAAAGUCUUUGGAAAAAAAGUCUAACUAGUAAAAAUGUUUACACGUUAUGUGAAAACUAGUACAAGUAUAUAAAUAAAUAAAAAGAGACUUACUCAUGUUUAUGAACUCUGCUGAAUAAAGUGCUUCAUUAUUUUUUCUGAGGAAAUCCAAAUCUCAAAUCCUCAACCACAUCACAUCUUUUUUUGGGGUGAAUUAUGUCUUAUUCCUCUCAUCGCGAAGCAAACAGUAAAAAUAAUAAAAAAACUUGAAGAACAGUCUCGCUGCGUUGUCUUCUGUUGUGUGGGCGUAUUCAAAAGCCGCGCGCUUCAGUGAAACAUUUGAAUCUCAAAAGCGCGCUCGGCGCGGGGGCGUGGUCGCAUUAGAAGAUAAUGAAGGGAGACGUGAAAAACGGACAUCGCGUUGUUUUAAUAUGGAUUACUUUAUCACAGAAUAUUUGUUUUCAGCAGCACUGGUUUAGUUUAAAAGUAGACAUGUCAGGCUUUCUAUAGAUAUCUCUCUCAUGUCUCUUCGUUGAGUAUUCACUGAGUUACAGUUCAUUUUAAUGACGCAUUUGUAUCUGAAGAUCAGCGCAGACAAAGGCUGCAGACAGCACUCCUUGUUUGUUAUCUUUAUUUUAUAAAUGCACAAAGUUUUGUUGUUAUUAUGUCUGUAUACAAAAAAAAGUAGACCCUUUACAGAUUCGAUUGAUGUAUUGCACUUAUCUGUACGAUCGAAACUGAAAGUGUAAUUUAAGUUCUUUUCGGGGUUAUCAGGAGAAAAUACCCCAAAACGCGUAUACGCGUUAAUCGACUCCAGAGGGUUAAUUGUUAGGGCCUCGGCCCGGGGUUGAGCUGAAGGCUUGGAAUCAGGAAAGAUUCCUUUAAAGGGAUAUGGCUAAGAAAAUAGCAUUUUAUACUAAGUCUUGCCUGUCACACAGGGGCUACCGCUUGCUCUCACAAAAGCUUGCUGAAGGAGCUGUCUCAACAGAUCUCCAGUAGCAACACCCUGUUUAGAUAGGUAUCCGAGGAUACAAAGGUGGAGUGGCACCCAAGAUGAACGGGGCUUUUACCAACUCAAGAAAGGGCACAAAGCAACCGCGCGAAGCCCUCACCAUAUAGGAUUUUAGAAAGAACGCAGAAUACUAGCGUGCAAACUUAACACAGUGUAGAUUUCAGAAAGUGUGCAAAGACUUCACGUGCACACUUACCAUAGAAUGGAUUUUCAAAUACUGUUCUAAGGAGGGGCUCUCGUGGCACUCUGAUAGAGCAGCUCAUAGAUGGAAUGGUGCAUCUCAAAACAGUAUGUUUGAGAGUCAUAAAC